UUACUGCUAUCGAGGUUCGACUAAGCCAUGCGAGUCGAAUGUAGCAAUACAUGGCGUACUGCUCAGUAACACGUGGACAACCUGCCCUUAGGACGGGUAUAAACCCGGGAAACUGGGUAUAAUCCCCGAUAGGUCUCGGCUGCUGGAAUGCAUCGAGAUCUAAAGCUCCGGCGCCUAAGGAUGGGUCUGCGGCCUAUCAGGUAGUAGUGGGUGUAGCGUACCUACUAGCCUACGACGGGUACGGGUUGUGAGAGCAAGAGCCCGGAGAUGGAUUCUGAGACACGAAUCCAGGCCCUACGGGGUGCAGCAGGCGCGAAAACUUUACAAUGCUGGCAACAGCGAUAAGGGAACCUCGAGUGCCAGGUUACAAAUCUGGCUGUCGUGAUGCCUAAAAAGCAUUGCAUAGCAAGGGCCGGGCAAGACCGGUGCCAGCCGCCGCGGUAACACCGGCGGCUCGAGUGGUAACCGUUAUUAUUGGGUCUAAAGGGUCUGUAGCCGGCCGGAUAAGUCUCUUGAGA
RNAcentral lists this ribosomal RNA (518 nucleotides) under uncultured methanogenic archaeon. RNAcentral describes it as "bacterial SSU rRNA". It matches the Rfam family "Archaeal small subunit ribosomal RNA", at positions 24 to 547 of the family's 1478-position model. The record is from RNAcentral. Lineage: Archaea; Methanobacteriati; Methanobacteriota.